GACGAACGCUGGCGGCGCGCUUAACACAUGCAAGUCGAGCGAGAACCCAGGCUUCGGCCUGGGGGAAAGCGGCGAACGGGUGAGUAUCACGUGGGUAAUCUGUCCUCGACAUCGGGAUAGCCCGGGGAAACCCGGAUUAAUACCGAAUGGCCCAUCCGCUCUUUGGAGUGGCUGGAAAAGGUAGCUUUGGCCUCCGGUCGAGGAGGAGCCCGCGGCGGAUUAGCUUGUUGGUGAGGUAACGGCUCACCAAGGCUCCGAUCCGUAGCUGGUCUGAGAGGACGAUCAGCCACACUGGGACUGAGACACGGCCCAGACUCCUACGGGAGGCAGCAGUGGGGAAUCUUGCGCAAUGGGCGAAAGCCUGACGCAGCGACGCCGCGUGAGGGAAGAAGGCCUUCGGGUUGUAAACCUCUUUCAGGAGGGACGAAGCCACUCGGGUUAAUAGCCCAGAGGGUGACGGUACCUCCAGAAGAAGCCCCGGCUAACUACGUGCCAGCAGCCGCGGUAAUACGUAGGGGGCUAGCGUUGUCCGGAUUUAUUGGGCGUAAAGAGCGUGUAGGCGGCCAGGUAGGUCUGCUGUGAAAACUCGAGGCUCAACCUCGAGACGUCGGCGGAAACCAUCUGGCUAGAGUCCGGAAGAGGAGAGUGGAAUUCCUGGUGUAGCGGUGAAAUGCGCAGAUAUCAGGAAGAACACCCGUGGCGAAGGCGGCUCUCUGGGACGGUACUGACGCUGAGACGCGAAAGCGUGGGGAGCGAACAGGAUUAGAUACCCUGGUAGUCCACGCCGUAAACGAUGGGUGCUAGGUGUGGGCGGUGUCGACUCCGUCCGUGCCGAAGCUAACGCAUUAAGCACCCCGCCUGGGGAGUACGGCCGCAAGGCUA
RNAcentral lists this ribosomal RNA (882 nucleotides) under uncultured bacterium. RNAcentral describes it as "bacterial SSU rRNA". It matches the Rfam family "Bacterial small subunit ribosomal RNA", at positions 28 to 896 of the family's 1533-position model. The record is from RNAcentral.